Long non-coding RNA from Callorhinus ursinus (northern fur seal), 336 nucleotides. RefSeq lists it as uncharacterized. The record is from RefSeq and is a predicted model, not a curated record. Lineage: Eukaryota; Metazoa; Chordata; Mammalia; Carnivora; Otariidae.
GUCUGCUAAAUGGGAAUGCUAACACUCGCGACGCACGAGGGCUUCUAUGGGAUCAAAUGACUUGAUGUCAGUGCAGGGUGACUUUCAGUGUGCUGUAUCUUUUCAGGAGGACCCGGCAGCCCUACUGCAGCACCCAGAGGAGGGACCUCAGAAGGUACAGAGGGCUUCCCAAGAGCACCUGGCGGUGAGAAGACAAGUGGAGACUCAACGGCCCCAGGCACCACGUUGGGAGGCAGACCAGGUGCUGCUGGAGGUCCAGUUUCCACGACCCUGUAUGCUGGCAGCAUAGGCAGCACCAGAAUGGGCCCGACCUUCACCAGCCCUGGGCGCGAAGCA